RNAcentral lists this ribosomal RNA (758 nucleotides) under uncultured bacterium. Its description in RNAcentral is "bacterial SSU rRNA". It matches the Rfam family "Bacterial small subunit ribosomal RNA", at positions 100 to 871 of the family's 1533-position model. The record is from RNAcentral.
GGACGGGUGAGUAAUGUAUGAGCAACCUGCCUCCAUCAACGGGAUAGCAGUUGGAAACGACUGGUAAUACGGUAUAUGACCACAGCACGGCAUCGUGCAGCGGUAAAAGAUUUUAUUGGAUAGAGAUGGGCUCAUAUCCCAUUAGGUAGUUGGUGAGAUAACAGCCCACCAAGCCUACGAUGGGUAGCCGAGCUGAGAGGCUGAUCGGCCACAUUGGGACUGAAACACGGCCCAGACUCCUACGGGAGGCAGCAGUGGGGAAUAUUGGGCAAUGGAGGCAACUCUGACCCAGCAAUGCCGCGUGAGUGAUGAAGGUAAUUUUAUUGUAAAGCUCUUUUCUUUGGAACGAAUAAAUGACGGUACCAAAGGAAUAAGCCCCGGCUAACUACGUGCCAGCAGCCGCGGUAAUACGUAGGGGGCAAGCGUUGUUCGGAAUGACUGGGCGUAAAGGGUGUGUAGGUGGUUUGAUAAGUUAGAUGUGUAAUACCCAGGGCUUAACUCGGGUGCUGCAUCUAAAACUGUUAGACUUGAGUACUGGAGAGGAUAGUGGAAUUCCUAGUGUAGCGGUGGAAUGCGUAGAUAUUAGGAGGAACAUCAGUGGCGAAGGCGACUAUCUGGACAGCAACUGACACUGAGGCACGAAAGCGUGGGGAGCAAACAGGAUUAGAUACCCUGGUAGUCCACGCUGUAAACGAUGGAUACUAGAUGCGGGGGGUAUUCACUCCUUCCGUGUCGUAGCAAACGCACUAAGUAUCCCG